CCUAAACUGUUGGGACCAAACCUCCCAAAAUCAAACCCAACCUUCCUUUUAUGGUCAUAAACCUUGUGUUUAAAUGUCAUAGAUUUCUAUUGACUUAUACUAAAGUUAUGGUGCGAAAACCAAGAAUAAUGCUUAUUUGGGCCCUUUUUUGGCCCCUAACUCCUAAACUGUUGGAACCAAAACUCCCAAAAUCAAUCCCAACCUUUCUUUUGUGGUCAUAAAC
Molecule: long non-coding RNA, 223 nt
Filed under: Mytilus galloprovincialis (Mediterranean mussel)
Lineage: Eukaryota; Metazoa; Mollusca; Bivalvia; Mytilida; Mytilidae
Source: RNAcentral